Molecule: ribosomal RNA, 468 nt
Filed under: uncultured bacterium
Lineage: Bacteria
Description: partial 16S ribosomal RNA
Rfam family: Bacterial small subunit ribosomal RNA
Source: RNAcentral
GACGAACGCUGGCGGCGUGCUUAACACAUGCAAGUCGAACGGAAAGGCCCUGCUUUUGUGGGGUGCUCGAGUGGCGAACGGGUGAGUAACACGUGAGUAACCUGCCCUUGACUUUGGGAUAACUUCAGGAAACUGGGGCUAAUACCGGAUAGGAGCUCCUGCUGCAUGGGGGGGGGUGGAAGGUUUCGGCGGUUGGGGAUGGACUCGCGGCUUAUCAGCUUGUUGGUGGGGUAGUGGCUUACCAAGGCUUUGACGGGUAGCCGGCCUGAGCGGGUGACCGGCCACAUUGGGACUGAGAUACGGCCCAGACUCCUACGGGAGGCAGCAGUGGGGAAUAUUGCACAAUGGGCGGAAGCCUGAUGCAGCAACGCCGCGUGCGGGAUGACGGCCUUCGGGUUGUAAACCGCUUUCGCCUGUGACGAAGCGUGAGUGACGGUAAUGGGUAAAGAAGCACCGGCUAACUACGUG